RNAcentral lists this ribosomal RNA (252 nucleotides) under Mitsuokella multacida DSM 20544. Its description in RNAcentral is "partial 16S ribosomal RNA". It matches the Rfam family "Bacterial small subunit ribosomal RNA", at positions 524 to 776 of the family's 1533-position model. Lineage: Bacteria; Bacillati; Bacillota; Negativicutes; Selenomonadales; Selenomonadaceae. The record is from RNAcentral.
UACGUAGGUGGCGAGCGUUGUCCGGAAUUAUUGGGCGUAAAGGGAGCGCAGGCGGGAGAUCAAGUCUAUCUUAAAAGUGCGGAGCUCAACCCCGUGAGGGGAUGGAAACUGGUCUUCUUGAGUGCAGGAGAGGAAAGCGGAAUUCCUAGUGUAGCGGUGAAAUGCGUAGAUAUUAGGAGGAACACCAGUGGCGAAGGCGGCUUUCUGGACUGUAACUGACGCUGAGGCUCGAAAGCGUGGGGAGCGAACAGG